CAGCAGCCGCGGUAAUACGUAGGGUGCAAGCGUUAAUCGGAAUUACUGGGCGUAAAGCGUGCGCAGGCGGUUAUAUAAGACAGAUGUGAAAUCCCCGGGCUCAACCUGGGAACUGCAUUUGUGACUGUAUAGCUAGAGUACAGCAGAGGGGGAUGGAAUUCCGCGUGUAGCAGUGAAAUGCGUAGAUAUGCGGAGGAACACCGAUGGCGAAGGCAAUCCCCUGGGCCUGUACUGACGCUCAUGCACGAAAGCGUGGGGAGCAAACAGGAUUAGAUACCCGCGUAGUCCCUGUCUCUUAUAC
This 301-nucleotide ribosomal RNA is filed under the name uncultured bacterium. RNAcentral's name for it is "partial 16S ribosomal RNA". It matches the Rfam family "Bacterial small subunit ribosomal RNA", at positions 509 to 807 of the family's 1533-position model. The record is from RNAcentral.